CACUCCUACGGGAGGCAGCAGUGGGGAAUUUUGGACAAUGGGCGAAAGCCUGAUCCAGCAAUGCCGCGUGUGUGAAGAAGGCCUUCGGGUUGUAAAGCACUUUUGUCCGGAAAGAAAUCCUUGGCUCUAAUACAGUCGGGGGAUGACGGUACCGGAAGAAUAAGCACCGGCUAACUACGUGCCAGCAGCCGCGGUAAUACGUAGGGUGCGAGCGUUAAUCGGAAUUACUGGGCGUAAAGCGUGCGCAGGCGGUUUGCUAAGACCGAUGUGAAAUCCCCGGGCUCAACCUGGGAACUGCAUUGGUGACUGGCAGGCUAGAGUAUGGCAGAGGGGGGUAGAAUUCCACGUGUAGCAGUGAAAUGCGUAGAGAUGUGGAGGAAUACCGAUGGCGAAGGCAGCCCCCUGGGCCAAUACUGACGCUCAUGCACGAAAGCGUGGGGAGCAAACAGGAUUAGAAACCCCAGUAGUCCC
Molecule: ribosomal RNA, 471 nt
Filed under: uncultured organism
Description: partial 16S ribosomal RNA
Rfam family: Bacterial small subunit ribosomal RNA
Source: RNAcentral